Molecule: ribosomal RNA, 921 nt
Filed under: uncultured bacterium
Lineage: Bacteria
Description: bacterial SSU rRNA
Rfam family: Bacterial small subunit ribosomal RNA
Source: RNAcentral
AGUGCGUGCGGCACGGGCGAUUUUUGUAAAGUUUAGGAUUGUGAUAGGCCCCUCGAGGCUUUAACCUACGGAACUGCAGUUUUGGAAACUUACAGAGCCUUCGAGUGUUGGCAGAAGGAGGAGUGGAAUUUCCACGUGUAGCCAUGAAAAUGCGUAGGAGAUGUGGAGGAACCCCGAUGGGCGAAGGGCAGGGCCCCUGGGGUUAACACUGACGCUCAGGCACGAAAAGCGUGAGGAGCAAACAGGAUUAGAUACCCUGGUAGUCCCCGCCCUAAACGAUGUCAACUAGUUGUCGGGUCUUAAACGGACUCGGUAACGCAGCUAACGCGUGAAGUUGACCGCCUGGAGAGUACGGGUCGCAAGAUUAAAAACUCAAAGGAAAUUGACGGGGACCCGCACAAAGCGGUGGAUUAUGUGGAUUAAUUUCGAUGCAACGCGAAAAACCUUACCUACCCCUUGACAUGUGCCGAAGCCCGCUGAAAGGUGGGUGUGCCCGAAAGGGAGCGGUAACACAGGUGCUGCAUGGCUGUCGUCAGCUCGUGUCGUGAGAUGUUGGGUUAAGUCCCGCAACGAGCGCAACCCUUGUCAUUAAUUGCCAUCAUUCAGUUGGGCACUUUAAUGAAACUGCCGGUGACAACCCGGAGGAAGGUGGGGAUGACGUCAAGUCCUCAUGGCCCUUAUGGGUAGGGCUUCACACGUAAUACAAUGGCGCGUACAGAGGGUUGCCAACCCGCGAGGAGGAGCUAAUCUCAGAAAGCGCGUCGUAGUCCGGAUCGGAGUCUGCAACUCGACUCCGUGAAGUCUGCAUCGCGGAGUAAUCGCGGAUCAGCAUGUCGCGGUGAAUACGUUCACCGCUCUGCACACCCGCCCGUCAAGAGCGAAUCGCGCCGCUAAAUCACUCGCGCUAUAUAUCAGUCUAGU